CAUUAACCCUGAUUCGUGAGUCCCGGGAGAGGAGCCCCCCACCAGGCCCGGCUGGAUGCGGCCUGCGUCGGUCCGGUGGUCUCAGGAAUGUGCGGAGGGAGUGUUUGCAGUCCAUCUUGCAGCAGCGUCACCACCCCAUCCUGCCCCUGCUGAGGGAGUCGGACCUGUGCUCAGCUGCUGCGGAGCCUCCUGUUUCGUGGAGGAGCUUCAGUCUUCACCUUCACCUUCACCUUCACCGUGGACGUUGUCUCCUGGCUUCAAGCGUGGACUCCUGAGCCUCCAGCGCAGCCCUUUGGGCUCUGAUACAGACUGGCAUGGGAUAGUACACUGAGCUCCAGGCCGUCAGCUCUUGGGGUGCAAACACCUUCCACACUGCAGCGGCCACGUGAGCCGGGCGUGCAAACCCUCCUCUAGUGUAUACCUUGCAUGAAAUCUGUUUCCCUCGUGAGCUUGGACAAAUACAGACAGAUCUGGGUGUCAGGUGAACCUUGCUGUCCCAAGGGGGCCGGGUGGAGGGUGGGCACCGUCAGGGCAGGCGUGUCCUGGCCUGGGAGAGACUGAGGGGCUGAGGGGCCAUGGAGUGCCCCUCCCAGCAUGAAGCACUGUGCUGUUCAUCAC
This 618-nucleotide long non-coding RNA is filed under the name Chinchilla lanigera (long-tailed chinchilla). Its description in RNAcentral is "lncRNA (ENSCLAG00000022941.1)". The record is from RNAcentral. Lineage: Eukaryota; Metazoa; Chordata; Mammalia; Rodentia; Chinchillidae.